GGGUUGUGAGGUUAAGCGACUAAGCGUACACGGUGGAUGCCCUGGCAGUCAGAGGCGAUGAAGGACGUGCUAAUCUGCGAUAAGCGUCGGUAAGGUGAUAUGAACCGUUAUAACCGGCGAUUUCCGAAUGGGGAAACCCAGUGUGAUUCGUCACACUAUCAUUACGUGAAUACAUAGCGUAAUGAAGCGAACCGGGGGAACUGAAACAUCUAAGUACCCCGAGGAAAAGAAAUCAACCGAGAUUCCCCCA
Molecule: ribosomal RNA, 250 nt
Filed under: Citrobacter sp. DNRA3
Lineage: Bacteria; Pseudomonadati; Pseudomonadota; Gammaproteobacteria; Enterobacterales; Enterobacteriaceae
Description: partial 23S ribosomal RNA
Rfam family: Bacterial large subunit ribosomal RNA
Source: RNAcentral